This is a long non-coding RNA of Rhagoletis zephyria (snowberry fruit fly), 123 nucleotides long. RefSeq lists it as uncharacterized. Lineage: Eukaryota; Metazoa; Arthropoda; Insecta; Diptera; Tephritidae. The record is from RefSeq and is a predicted model, not a curated record.
CAGAGAGCGCAUAUUCCGAUCUGCCUUAUUUAAAAAAUAUCAUUGUUGCCCACACUAAAAGGUUUACUGCUAGGGAAAAGGGAUAUUUCCAUACCCCAUAUACCAUAUGUCGUGCAGAAAUCU